UACGGAGGGUGCAAGCGUUAAUCGGAAUUACUGGGCGUAAAGCGCGCGUAGGCGGUCUUGUAAGUCGGAUGUGAAAUCCCCGGGCUUAACCUGGGAACUGCAUUCGAUACUGCUUAACUAGAGUAUGGUAGAGGGAAGUGGAAUUCCGGGUGUAGCGGUGAAAUGCGUAGAUAUCCGGAGGAACACCAGUGUCGAAGGCGACUUCCUGGGCCAAUACUGACGCUGAGGUGCGAAAGCGUGGGGAGCAAACAGG
Molecule: unclassified non-coding RNA, 253 nt
Filed under: uncultured Gammaproteobacteria bacterium
Lineage: Bacteria; Pseudomonadati; Pseudomonadota; Gammaproteobacteria
Description: contains 16S-23S intergenic spacer region
Rfam family: Bacterial small subunit ribosomal RNA
Source: RNAcentral